Molecule: non-coding RNA, 75 nt
Organism: Micromonospora nigra
Lineage: Bacteria; Bacillati; Actinomycetota; Actinomycetes; Micromonosporales; Micromonosporaceae
Rfam family: ASpks TB sRNA
Source: Rfam
CUUGACCGACCCCAACCACAACGGCUUCCCGGGAUCGCGGCCCUGACCGUAGGUGGCCAGCAACGCCUGCGCCUC